This 127-nucleotide non-coding RNA is filed under the name Leptotrombidium deliense. Lineage: Eukaryota; Metazoa; Arthropoda; Arachnida; Trombidiformes; Trombiculidae. The record is from RNAcentral.
GCCAGGCAUGGUGGUGCACGCCUAUAAUCCCAGCAGCUCGGGAGGCUGAGACAGAAGGAUCGCGAGUUCAAAGCCAGCCUCAGCAAAAAAGCGAGGUGCUAAGCAGCUCAAUGAGACCCUGUCUCUU